AGCAGUGUGGCUCAGUGGAAAGAGCACAGGCUUGGGACUGAGGUCAUGGGUUCGAAUCCCGACUCUGCCA
RNAcentral lists this transfer RNA (70 nucleotides) under Ornithorhynchus anatinus (platypus). It matches the Rfam family "tRNA". Rfam says of the family: Transfer RNA (tRNA) molecules are approximately 80 nucleotides in length. Their secondary structure includes four short double-helical elements and three loops (D, anti-codon, and T loops). The record is from Rfam by way of RNAcentral. Lineage: Eukaryota; Metazoa; Chordata; Mammalia; Monotremata; Ornithorhynchidae.